Molecule: long non-coding RNA, 1654 nt
Organism: Perca fluviatilis (European perch)
Lineage: Eukaryota; Metazoa; Chordata; Actinopteri; Perciformes; Percidae
Exons: 4
Source: RefSeq, a predicted model, not a curated record
CCCGGGGGCCAGUGGGAAUUUUUUUUUAUGUUGAGCCCUGCAUAAGAUGAAUAUGGUUUCCUACCAGUGCACAGACAACUUCAUCUGGGAGUGCCACAGAAAGACAUGUCGACGAUUAAGAAGAAGCAUUAGGAUCGGUCUCACUCCAGCAUUUUUACAUGGAUGAAAUACAUACACAGAUUUUCACAAGGUUUGUGUAUGCGGCAAGUGGACAUGUUGCAAGAUGGGAUUUCUAAGAGUAGCGCUACACUCUCAAGGAUGGCAAAGAAACUUCGGCACAUCUGUCUUAAAAGCAUGAGAAAGCAUCGGAAGCAAAAAGGGCAGAGAAUAGGUGGAGUUGAUGUCCUUAUCCACAUUGAUGAAAGCAAAUUCUGUCAUAAAAGAAAGUAUGCCAGAGGACGUUUUGGUAACACAUGGAGGAGAAAGACGUGGGUAUUUGGGAUGUUGGAGAUACGGGGCAACUCCAGACGACCCGUCCUUCGUCUAGUGAAGAGGAGGAACAAGGCUACCUUGGUUCCUAUUAUCAAGAAGCACAUAAAACCUCAGAGUACGGUAGUAAGUGAUGAGUGGAGAGCAUAUUCAAGUCUUUCACAGGAAGGCUACAGACACGUGACGGUCAACCACAGUCAAAAUUACGUAGACCCAGCUACAGGUCUACACACACAGAACAUUGAGAGGGCAUGGCAGACCUACAAGAAGGAGGUAUGGCGGUUGCGUGGAAAACGAACAUAAAAGUCUCUGAAAAGGCAGCUCUGCUUCAUAGAAUGGACCUACUGGUUGGGCAAAAGACAUAAACAUGGAAUCCUUGGUAGACUUUUUAAGGACAUAAGAUAUUCAUGAAUGGAGACACAUUGUAGAUAUUAGCCAUUGUAAAGUUUAUACUCUCCUCCUCUUUUACUAACCUCUCCUAACCUCCAAAUGUGAAUUGUAGAAGUGAACACAUAUGCACUUGUGUUGCAUGGUAUACUGGAAUUUCAGAAACCACCAUUCAACAUAAUGAUAAACCUUAGGCUCUGUAAUUUCAUAAAUUAUGUUCAGCAAUGUUGCAGCAGAUUUCGGUGCAUUGCUUGUAUUAAAGGCUCUGUUUUUGUAUAAGAUGUGUACAUUUUGGUAUACCAGGCAAUAUACCAGGCAAUACAAUGCUUUGAUUUUUUGUUUCAUUAUUCGUUCUUUGUGGAUGUACUGAACAUGUUGAUCAGCAGAUAUUAUGUAAAUGUGAAGUAAAUAAGCCAUAAACAGUCCACAAAGUUUCCUUUGUGUUUUAUUUUUAUUUUGAUAGUCAUAGGCAUAUAGAUUAUUACUAGGUUGUGAAUGCACUGAACUUUUUGAUAAGUAGACAUUUUGUUAAUGUGAUGUAGAUAAGCCAUAACAAGUCAACUAAAUUUCAAUUUAUUUGGAUAUUCACAAGGCAUAUCUAUAGAUUAUUUCUAGAGUUUAUGAAUAUUCUGAACAUAUUGAUCGGUAGAUGUUUUGUUAAUGUGAAGUAGAUAAACCAUAACCAGUCAAAUAAAUUUCACUUCAUUUGGAUAUUCAUAAGGCAUAUCUAUAGAUUAUUUCUAGAGUUUAUGAAUAUUCUGAACAUAUUGAUCGGUAGAUGUUUUGUUAAUGUGAAGUAGAUAAACCAUAACCAGUCAAAUAAAUUUCACUUCAUUUG